This 207-nucleotide ribosomal RNA is filed under the name uncultured bacterium. RNAcentral's name for it is "partial 16S ribosomal RNA". It matches the Rfam family "Bacterial small subunit ribosomal RNA", at positions 568 to 774 of the family's 1533-position model. The record is from RNAcentral.
CUCGUAGGCGGUUUGGUGAGUCGGGUGUGAAAUCUCCACGCUCAACGUGGAGGGGCCACCCGAUACUGCCAUGACUAGAGUCCGGUAGGGGAGUGUGGAAUUCCCGGUGUAGCGGUGAAAUGCGCAGAUAUCGGGAGGAACACCAGUAGCGAAGGCGACACUCUGGGCCGGUACUGACGCUGAGGAGCGAAAGCGUGGGAGCAAACA